CAAAAAUGUAACAGGAGGGUCGGGUGUCUAUGUGUCACCGUUCCCCCGUGAGUACUUAUGUGAACCUGGAAUCGCCAACAAAAUCCAACACCAACAACCUUUGACCUUAAACCAGUGUAAAUGUAAUUUAUUCCAUUUAUAACCCAAAAUACUGUUAACGACGGAUGCCUUUUAUAUUGGUCUCAAUGGCAAAUAUAUAACACAAACUUCUGAGUUAGCAAUUCAGGUUUCUCGUUCGUUCCUCUGGGAGAUUGUGUUUUGGUAGAGAAGACUCAAGAUUUAUUAAGUUCAGAUACUUUAUAUAGAAAUAACAUAAAUCAACAUGUAACAAUUAACAAGUGUAAACAAGAUCCAAAAUCAGUAUAAUUAUAUCAAAAAGGCAAAGAAAACUAUAAACAGUUUUCUUCAAUUUAACUUCAAUAAAUCGGUACUUUGUUUACAACAAAAAUAGAGCACCAAACAACAAAAUAUGCAAAAAUAAACUUAUUUCUUUCUUUAAAUUGAAUUUAUAUAAAAAGAAGUGUAGUAGCUAUCUAAAUAUUAGUGUUGAAAUAUCGGAACACCCUCCCUACGGAAAGUCGAGUGCACCGCGACACGUGGAUGAAUAUGGCUAUCUAUUUAUAAAUUAACAUCGCAAAAUUACUAAAUAAAUCUAGAAUCAGAAGAACACACUGCGGUGAACGAUUGAAAAGUUUUACCAAAUAAAAUUCUACAUUUUUAUCUUAAAAAUUAACCAGUCUACUUAAAAGGGGGACAAUAUUUAAUCAAACAUUUAGUAACUGACAAAAUCUCGGCUAUAUAUAUAGAGAGAGGAGAGAGAAGUAGACCUUACUCAAGUCACUGGCCAAGAGACAAACUUAACUUCGAAACGGCCGCUUUUAUACCACCGUUGACCAAUCAAAUUAAUUAUUCAAAUUUGUUUUCCUUAACCCAUAAUUAGCCAAUGAAAAUCGCGGUAUCAGACAUCAUUCGGAAUCAGUGCCAAAAUGGAUGACAUAAUAACAUUUCAAGAUUUCCAAAAUGAAAUAUCGGAACUAUCUACUUAAAAACACAAUUUACACCCAAAAAUAUGUAAGACAAAGUUAAACUAGAUGGUAAGUGACAACGUCUCUCCCUCUUAUGUGAACACGAACUAUAAAAUUUAAAUUAUAUACGAAAAACCGGCAAAAGUUAUUUUUACAGGCAAUUUUAUCAAAACAAUUAAUUUGCAUAAUCCAAUUCCGCUACACUCCUCCCCACUUAAAUCAAAUUAUCUGUUAUAAAAUUAAAGAUAAUUUUAUCAACUUAAAUAUAUUUCCAGAUUAA
RNAcentral lists this long non-coding RNA (1305 nucleotides) under Mytilus galloprovincialis (Mediterranean mussel). Lineage: Eukaryota; Metazoa; Mollusca; Bivalvia; Mytilida; Mytilidae. The record is from RNAcentral.